CCGUAACUAUAACGGUCCUAAGGUAGCGAAAUUCCUUGUCGGGUAAGUUCCGACCCGCACGAAAGGCGUAACGAUUUGGGCACUGUCUCAACGAUGGACUCGGUGAAAUCAUAGUACCUGUGAAGAUGCAGGUUACCCGCGACAGGACGGAAAGACCCCAUGGAGCUUUACUGUAGCUUGAUAUUGAAUUUUGAUGCAGUAUGUACAGGAUAGGUAGGAGCCUAAGAAUCAUGCACGCCAGUGUAUGAGGAGGCGUUGUUGGGAUACUACCCUUGCUGUAUUGAAAUUCUAACCCUCGGCAUAGAAAACCGGGAGACAGUGUCAGGUGGGCAGUUUGACUGGGGCGGUCGCCUCCCAAAGAGUAACGGAGGCGUUCAAAGGUUCCCUCAGAAUGGUUGGAAAUCAUUUGCAGAGUGUAAAGGCACAAGGGAGCUUGACUGUGAGACUUACAAGUCGAGCAGGUGCGAAAGCAGGACUUAGUGAUCCGGUGGUUCCGCAUGGAAGGGCCAUCGCUCAACGGAUAAAAGCUACCCUGGGGAUAACAGGCUUAUCUCCCCCAAGAGUUCACAUCGACGGGGAGGUUUGGCACCUCGAUGUCGGCUCAUCGCAUCCUGGGGCUGUAGUCGGUCCCAAGGGUUGGGCUGUUCGCCCAUUAAAGCGGUACGCGAGCUGGGUUCAGAACGUCGUGAGACAGUUCGGUCCCUAUCCGUCGUGGGCGUAGGAAAUUUGAGAGGAGCUGUCCUUAGUACGAGAGGACCGGGAUGGACGUAUCAAUGGUGUACCAGUUGUCACGCCAGUGGCAUAGCUGGGUAGCUAAAUACGGAAGGGAUAAGAGCUGAAAGCAUCUAAGCAUGAAGCCCCCCUCGAGAUGAGAUUUCCCACGGAUAUUAAGACCCCUUGAAGACGACAAGGAGAAUAGGUUAGGAGUGUAAGCACGGUAACGUGUUCAGCUGACUAAUACUAAUAGGUCGAGGACUUAAUCAA
RNAcentral lists this ribosomal RNA (984 nucleotides) under human metagenome. RNAcentral describes it as "bacterial LSU rRNA". It matches the Rfam family "Bacterial large subunit ribosomal RNA", at positions 1934 to 2925 of the family's 2925-position model. The record is from RNAcentral.